Molecule: unclassified non-coding RNA, 545 nt
Filed under: Hevea brasiliensis (rubber tree)
Lineage: Eukaryota; Viridiplantae; Streptophyta; Magnoliopsida; Malpighiales; Euphorbiaceae
Source: RNAcentral
GCGAUGAGGAGUACUUUUCAGUUGUUGGCUCUGAGAGCGUUGAAGAUGAAGAUCAGGGGUCCCAAAUUACACAUUUUAUUCAAGGAUACAAAGACGGAAAUAUCAUACAGAAACGUAUUAGCUCUGGUUCUUUCAUGGGUUUCAUAAACUCAAUGAUAGGUUUGGGAACAGUGACCAUCAUAGUGUUUGUGGUUGCGGUGGUGAUGAUUAUCCAGUCUUUGAAAGAGGAACCCUUAACUGUUGGUACAAGGGACGAGGGAGAUCAUCCAAGCAGCUCCACCUCUCAGACAGAAGCCAGACAACCACUUCGUUCUGGAGAGAAACAAGACAAGGAAGAUUAAGUUUUACACCAGUCAGACCUCAGAUAGUUAGCUUGAGAAAUCCUCGACAGGAAAACCAAACUACACGUAGGUCUAAGAGUGCUGUUAAGUUUCAUCCUCACAACGAUCACAGCCCUUGUUUUCUUAUUAAAGUUAUUUGAACAACAUACUGUAGGAUUACUGUAACCAGAAGUGUGGAGGGAAGAGUUUGUGCUUCUAUCUGUG